GACGAACGCUGGCGGCGUGCUUAACACAUGCAAGUCGAACGAAGAGCGAUGGAAGCUUGCUUCUAUCAAUCUUAGUGGCGAACGGGUGAGUAACGCGUAAUCAACCUGCCCUUCAGAGGGGGACAACAGUUGGAAACGACUGCUAAUACCGCGUACGAUCUAAUCACGGCAUCGAGGAUGGAUGAAAGGUGGCCUCUAUUUAUAAGCUAUCACUGAAGGAGGGGAUUGCGUCUGAUUAGCUAGUUGGAGGGGUAACGGCCCACCAAGGCGAUGAUCAGUAGCCGGUCUGAGAGGAUGAACGGCCACAUUGGGACUGAGACACGGCCCAGACUCCUACGGGAGGCAGCAGUGGGGAAUCUUCCGCAAUGGACGAAAGUCUGACGGAGCAACGCCGCGUGAGUGAUGACGGCCUUCGGGUUGUAAAGCUCUGUUAAUCGGGACGAAAGGCCUUCUUGCGAAUAGUUAGAAGGAUUGACGGUACCGGAAUAGAAAGCCACGGCUAACUACCUGCCAGCAGCCGCGGUAAUACGUACGUGGCAAGCGUUGUCCGGAAUUAUUGGGCGUAAAGCGCGCGCAGGCGGAUUGGUCAUUCUGUCUUAAAAGUUCGGGGCUUAACCCCGUGAUGGGAUGGAAACUGCCAAUCUAAAGUAUCGGAAAGGAAAGUGGAAUUCGUAGUGUAGCGAUGAAAUGAGUAGAUAUUAAGAAGACACACCAGUGGCGAAGGUGACUUUCUAGACGAAAACUGACGCUGAGGCGCGCAAGCCAGGGGAGCGAA
RNAcentral lists this ribosomal RNA (775 nucleotides) under uncultured organism. Its description in RNAcentral is "SSU rRNA". It matches the Rfam family "Bacterial small subunit ribosomal RNA", at positions 28 to 772 of the family's 1533-position model. The record is from RNAcentral.